Carya illinoinensis is the source of this 687-nucleotide long non-coding RNA. RefSeq lists it as uncharacterized. Lineage: Eukaryota; Viridiplantae; Streptophyta; Magnoliopsida; Fagales; Juglandaceae. The record is from RefSeq and is a predicted model, not a curated record. The transcript has 2 exons.
UGGAGGGAAAUUUUUUGUUGCCGUCGUCUUCGGGUCUAGAAGAAGGAAGAGCUCUGCCUCGUCAUCUUUGUCUUCUGGUGAACAGCUGUUAGAUCUCCUUUAUCUCUGUUCGUCGGCUUCGUGUCUCCGUGGCUAGCUUCAGAGAUCAAAACCAUAGCACAUCAGCGGAUAACAGAAGAACAAUAUGGGAAUGUCCUCCAAAAGGUUUUUGUAAGAUAAAUUGGGAUGUUGCAGUUGACUUGAGUUUGUAUAAAUAGGUAUAGGAGUUGCUAUUAGAGAUGAGCAAGGGAAUUUCUUGGCGACAAUGAGAAAGAAGCAGUCUUCCAUCCCAAACCCUCUAGUAGCAGAAGCAACGGCAGCUCUUAAAGCAGUCAUUUUUGGCCUUGAACUCGGUAUGACAAAUGUUGUAAUGGAAGGAGACUCUCAGCCAGUGGUACAGGCAAUACAGAAGAAACACCAACAGAACAACUACUUUGGAAUGAUUAUCUCAGACAUCAAAGCCUUAAUCACUAGUUUCAAUUCAUGUUACUUUAAGCAUGUAAACAGAGAAGGCAACUUAGUUGCACAUAUGUUGAGAAAAAAUGCUUUAACAGUAUCUGAAUGUGUAGUUGGAGAAAACUCCAAUUUGUAAUAAGCCUGUGUUUUUAACACAGCUUAUCAAUGGAAGAGUGAAUUUUCAAAAAACAA